This 597-nucleotide ribosomal RNA is filed under the name uncultured bacterium. Its description in RNAcentral is "bacterial SSU rRNA". It matches the Rfam family "Bacterial small subunit ribosomal RNA", at positions 31 to 624 of the family's 1533-position model. The record is from RNAcentral.
UGACGCUGGCGGCAUGCCCUACACAUUCAAGUCGAACGGUAACAGGUCUUCGGAUGCUGACGAGUGGCGAACGGGUGAGUAAUACUCGGAACGUGCCCGAGAGUGGGGGAUAACGAAGCGAAAGCUUUGCUAAUACCGCAUACGAUCUCAGGAUGAAAGCAGGUGACCGCAAGGCCUUGCGCUCACGGAGCGGCCGAUGGCAGAUUAGGUAGUUGGUGGGAUAAAAGCUUACCAAGCCGACGAUCUGUAGCUGGUCUGAGAGGACGACCAGCCACACUGGGACUGAGACACGGCCCAGACUCCUACGGGAGGCAGCAGUGGGGAAUUUUGGACAAUGGGCGCAAGCCUGAUCCAGCCAUGCCGCGUGCAGGAUGAAGGCCUUCGGGUUGUAAACUGCUUUUGUACGGAACGAAAAGACUCUGGUUAAUACCUGGGGUCCAUGACGGUACCGUAAGAAUAAGCACCGGCUAACUACGUGCCAGCAGCCGCGGUAAUACGUAGGGUGCGAGCGUUAUCGGAAUUACUGGGCGUAAGCGUGCGCACGGCGGUUAUGUAAGGACAGAUGUGAAAUCCCCGGGCUCAACCUUGGGAAACUGC